Molecule: ribosomal RNA, 561 nt
Filed under: uncultured bacterium
Lineage: Bacteria
Description: bacterial SSU rRNA
Rfam family: Bacterial small subunit ribosomal RNA
Source: RNAcentral
GCAGUGGGGAAUAUUGCGCAAUGGGGGCAACCCUGACGCAGCGAUGCCGCGUGAGUGAAGAAGGCCUUCGGGUUGUAAAGCUCUUUCGGUGGGAACGAUUGUGACGGUACCCACAGAAGAAGCUCCGGCUAACUCCGUGCCAGCAGCCGCGGUAAUACGGAGGGGGCGAGCGUUGUUCGGAAUUACUGGGCGUAAAGGGCGCGUAGGCGGUUUGGCAAGUCAGGAGUGAAAUCCCAGGGCUUAACCUUGGAAUGUCUCUUGAAACUGCCUUACUGGAGUCCGGCAGAGGAUGGUGGAAUUCCCCGUGUAGAGGUGAAAUUCGUAGAUAUGGGGAGGAAGACCAGAGGCGAAGGCGGCCAUCUGGACCGGUACUGACGCUGAGGCGCGAAAGCGUGGGGAGCGAACAGGAUUAGAUACCCUGGUAGUCCACGCCGUAAACGAUGAGUGCUGGUUGUCGCGGGUAUCGACCCCUGCGGCAACGAAGUUAACGCGUUAAGCACUCCGCCUGGGGAGUACGGCCGCAAGGCUAAAACUCAAAUGAAUUUGACGGGGGGUUAAACU